UUCCUUAAGGCACAGCCACCCUUCCUGGGCUCCCAUCUUGCCAAAUCUCUUACUCUGCGGUGCAUCACUGACUAAACACCUGAGCUCGCUGAAGUCAGACUUCCUAAAGGCCAGCACUACCUCCCU
Long non-coding RNA from Gavialis gangeticus (Gharial), 126 nucleotides. RefSeq lists it as uncharacterized. Lineage: Eukaryota; Metazoa; Chordata; Crocodylia; Gavialidae. The transcript has 3 exons. The record is from RefSeq and is a predicted model, not a curated record.